RNAcentral lists this ribosomal RNA (261 nucleotides) under Enterobacter hormaechei. RNAcentral describes it as "partial 23S ribosomal RNA". It matches the Rfam family "Bacterial large subunit ribosomal RNA", at positions 1085 to 1345 of the family's 2925-position model. Lineage: Bacteria; Pseudomonadati; Pseudomonadota; Gammaproteobacteria; Enterobacterales; Enterobacteriaceae. The record is from RNAcentral. RNAcentral also lists the same sequence under 6 other names.
ACAGACAGCCAGGAUGUUGGCUUAGAAGCAGCCAUCAUUUAAAGAAAGCGUAAUAGCUCACUGGUCGAGUCGGCCUGCGCGGAAGAUGUAACGGGGCUAAACCAUGCACCGAAGCUGCGGCAGCGACACUAUGUGUUGUUGGGUAGGGGAGCGUUCUGUAAGCCGUUGAAGGUGUGCUGUGAGGCAUGCUGGAGGUAUCAGAAGUGCGAAUGCUGACAUAAGUAACGAUAAAGCGGGUGAAAAGCCCGCUCGCCGGAAGAC